Molecule: long non-coding RNA, 1285 nt
Organism: Homo sapiens (human)
Lineage: Eukaryota; Metazoa; Chordata; Mammalia; Primates; Hominidae
Source: Ensembl
AGAAAGCAGUGUGAUAUAUUCCCGGGCCCAGCAAACAGUCCACAGGUGGGUUAUUGACACUCAGACCAAGAUUCAGUACACCUGAAAGACUGUGACUCCACUAAGAAAACAGUCUGUGAGAGGAAUUGAGGCUCUCGUCCAUGGAUCUAGUCCACUGUUGAGAUUGUGAAUCAUGUACUUAGGCCCAACAUAAAAGAGGUGUUGAUUCUCAUACCUGGAACCUGGACAUGUGCAGGAUUGUUAAUCUCAUUUAUGAACAUUCCUGCAGCUGUGAUUGUGACAUAUGCCUCUGCCCAGCACCUGAGUGAUUGAAUUCUUCUGCCUGGGCUCAGCCCACAGAUUGGAUUGUGAAACAUUGCUGAACCCAGGACCUAACUAAUGUAAAUCUAUUCUCCUGCCUUGGCACUGCCCACUGGGAACCCUGUGACAUAUUGCUGCACCCAACACCCAGGUUAUGUGGCUCUCCUGCCAGUGCCUUGCCCACACGGGCUGUUGUGACAUAUUGCUGGGUCCACACCCAGGUGAUAUAAUUCUCUUGCCUAGGCCCUGCUUACAGAGAGCAUUGUGACAUAUCUUUCUGCUCAUCACACAGUUAAUAAGACAGUUUCUGCCUGGUUUCUCCUUACAGGGUGUAUCAAAACAGAUUGCUAGGCCCAGCACCUAGCUGAUGUGACUCUUUCUAGGUUUUGCCCACAAGGAACAUUGUGACAUAUCACUGGGCCCAACAGCAAGGUGAUGUUGCCCUUUUGCUUUGGCCUUGCUCUCAGAAAGCAUUGUGACAUAUUGCUGAACCCAGCACCAAGGUGAUGUGAGUUGGUAUGCCUGGACCCUGCUAACAAGAGGCAUUGUGACAUACUUCUGGGACCAUCAUCUAUUUGAUGUGACUCUCCUUUUACCUGGGCUUCUGUUGUAAAAGAGAUUGUGACAUAACUCUGGGCCUAACAGCUAGACUUGUCUGCAGCGCAGAUUGCUACAUAUUGCUUGGCCCAGCUCCUAUGUGAUGUGACUCUCCUGUCAUACCUGAGUGCUCCCCACUGCGGUAAUUGUGACAUAUAGCUGGGCUCUGGCCCUAGUUUAUGUAACUUUUCUUCCUGACUGCUACUCACCUGGGGGCAUUGUGACAUAUCUCUGAACCUCUCACCUAAGUGAUGUGAAUCUCCUGCUUGAGCCCACUUCUCAGGGAGUAUUAUUAUAUAUUGUCACACACAGCAACUAGGUGAUAUGACUCUCUCUACAGCUUGGACUCUGCCCAAUAAAAAACUGUGAUGUAUCACUGGACCCAGCA